Non-coding RNA from Chrysemys picta bellii (western painted turtle), 480 nucleotides. The record is from the annotation of a RefSeq genome assembly. NCBI's taxonomy places the organism in Eukaryota, Metazoa, Chordata, Testudines, Emydidae.
AUGUUGCUGCUCCACGUCGUUAUUCUGGCUUUGGUUUUGUCUUAUGGAUGUGCACAAAUACAUCUGAGACAAACUCAGUUGUCCGUUACCAGGGCAGAAAAUAAAACUGCACGUAUAGUCUGUGAGGCUUCUGGCAUUCAGAACUUCAGGAGUGCUGUUAUACAUUGGUAUCGACACAGAUCUGGUGAAGCUCCGGAGCGGAUUCUGUACAUCUCAACUAUAAAAGUUGAAUUUGACAAAGACACUGAUAAGAAGAAGUUUGACUGUGAAAAGAAGUCUGACCAGUCCAUCUCUACCCUAGUAGUAAAUACAAUAACUCCUAAUGACAGAGCUAUCUAUUAUUGUGCUUUUUGGGUUGGCACAGUGUUUGAAAGCUGUAGACAGCCUGCACGAAAACUUCACUCUAUUCUGAGCCACAGACUUUCAAAAGUGUAUAAAAAUGACAGCUGUCUCCUGGCUUCAGCUCAGAGGCAAGAUUAA